GCUUGUCUCAAAGAUUAAGCCAUGCAUGUCUAAGUAUAAACGAUUAUACUGUGAAACUGCGAAUGGCUCAUUAUAUCAGUUAUAGUUUAUUUGAUGGUCUCUACUACUUGGAUAACCGUAGUAAUUCUAGAGCUAAUACAUGCAUCAAACCCAAACUUACGAAUGGGUGUAUUUAUUAGAUUGAAACCAAUGCGGGUUCCCCGGUAUUUGGUGAUUCAUAAUAACUUUCGGAUCGACUUCGGUCGAUGCAUCAUUCAAGUUUCUGCCCUAUCAGCUUUGGAUGGUAGGGUAUUGGCCUACCAUGGCUUUAACGGGUAACGGAGAAUUAGGGUUCGAUUCCGGAGAGGGAGCCUGAGAAAUGGCUACCACAUCCAAGGAAGGCAGCAGG
RNAcentral lists this ribosomal RNA (388 nucleotides) under uncultured Chrysophyceae. Its description in RNAcentral is "partial small subunit ribosomal RNA". It matches the Rfam family "Eukaryotic small subunit ribosomal RNA", at positions 30 to 432 of the family's 1831-position model. Lineage: Eukaryota; Chrysophyceae. The record is from RNAcentral.